CUACGGGUCGCAGCAGUGGGGAAUAUUGCACAAUGGGCGCAAGCCUGAUGCAGCCAUGCCGCGUGUAUGAAGAAGGCCUUCGGGUUGUAAAGUACUUUCAGUGGGGAGGAAGGGAGUAAAGUUAAUACCUUUGCUCAUUGACGUUACCCGCAGAAGAAGCACCGGCUAACUCCGUGCCCGCGGCCGCGGUAAUACGGAGGGUGCAAGCGUUAAUCGGAAUUACUGGGCGUAAAGCGCACGCAGGCGGUUUGUUAAGUCAGAUGUGAAAUCCCCGGGCUCAACCUGGGAACUGCAUCUGAUACUGGCAAGCUUGAGUCUCGUAGAGGGGGGUAGAAUUCCAGGUGUAGCGGUGAAAUGCGUAGAGAUCUGGAGGAAUACCGGUGGCGAAGGCGGCCCCCUGGACGAAGACUGACGCUCAGGUGCGAAAGCGUGGGGAGCAAACAGGAUUAGAUACCCCAGUAGUC
RNAcentral lists this ribosomal RNA (464 nucleotides) under uncultured bacterium. RNAcentral describes it as "partial 16S ribosomal RNA". It matches the Rfam family "Bacterial small subunit ribosomal RNA", at positions 339 to 795 of the family's 1533-position model. The record is from RNAcentral.